This 301-nucleotide ribosomal RNA is filed under the name uncultured bacterium. Its description in RNAcentral is "partial 16S ribosomal RNA". It matches the Rfam family "Bacterial small subunit ribosomal RNA", at positions 509 to 808 of the family's 1533-position model. The record is from RNAcentral.
CAGUAGCCGCGGUAUACGGAGGGUGCAAGCGUUAAUCGGAAUUACUGGGCGUAAAGCGCACGCAGGCGGUCUGUCAAGUCGGAUGUGAAAUCCCCGGGCUCAACCUGGGAACUGCAUUCGAAACUGGCAGGCUAGAGUCUUGUAGAGGGGGGUAGAAUUCCAGGUGUAGCGGUGAAAUGCGUAGAGAUCUGGAGGAAUACCGGUGGCGAAGGCGGCCCCCUGGACAAAGACUGACGCUCAGGUGCGAAAGCGUGGGGAGCAAACAGGAUUAGAUACCCCAGUAGUCCCUGUCUCUUAUACA